AAGUAGGGGAGACCGGGGAUAGUUGACUAUAGGGGUAGGUAGACUAACCGCCAAAAACUCGCCAAUGGUUUGAGUGUUGUGUGAUCCCAGCGCAGCCGUGUAUCACUCUCCGCCCCCUGCUCAGUCGUCGGUAACGCCGCGUCGCCGGCACACGCCGUUUUCGAGUAGUGACCCGUGAUUUGUUUUCAUAUCAUCACGAUGAGGAUCUAUAAACGAACGACUGAACGAUGAAGAAAUAAGACCCUUUCCUAAAGCGGCGCCACGUUUAGA
Molecule: long non-coding RNA, 270 nt
Organism: Ostrinia furnacalis (Asian corn borer)
Lineage: Eukaryota; Metazoa; Arthropoda; Insecta; Lepidoptera; Crambidae
Exons: 2
Source: RefSeq, a predicted model, not a curated record